UGACGAGUUUGAUCCUGGCUCAGAUUGAACGCUGGCGGAAUGCUUUACACAUGCAAGUCGAACGGUAGAGGGGGCAACCCCUCGAGAGUGGCGAACGGGUGAGUAAUAUAUCGGAACGUGCCCAGUCGUGGGGGAUAACGUAGCGAAAGUUACGCUAAUACCGCAUACGAUCUACGGAUGAAAGUCGGGGGAACUCGGCAAGAGCCUCGCGCGAUUGGAGCGGCCGAUAUCAGAUUAGGUAGUUGGUGGGGUAAAGGCUCACCAAGCCAACGAUC
This 275-nucleotide ribosomal RNA is filed under the name uncultured Comamonadaceae bacterium. RNAcentral's name for it is "partial 16S ribosomal RNA". It matches the Rfam family "Bacterial small subunit ribosomal RNA", at positions 1 to 281 of the family's 1533-position model. Lineage: Bacteria; Pseudomonadati; Pseudomonadota; Betaproteobacteria; Burkholderiales; Comamonadaceae. The record is from RNAcentral.